Molecule: ribosomal RNA, 450 nt
Filed under: uncultured bacterium
Lineage: Bacteria
Description: partial 16S ribosomal RNA
Rfam family: Bacterial small subunit ribosomal RNA
Source: RNAcentral
GUGGGGAAUAUUGGACAAUGGGCGAAAGCCUGAUCCAGCCAUGCCGCGUGUGUGAAGAAGGUCUUCGGAUUGUAAAGCACUUUAAGUUGGGAGGAAGGGCAGUAAGUUAAUACCUUGCUGUUUUGACGUUACCGACAGAAUAAGCACCGGCUAACUUCGUGCCAGCAGCCGCGGUAAUACGAAGGGUGCAAGCGUUAAUCGGAAUUACUGGGCGUAAAGCGCGCGUAGGUGGUUUUGUAAGUUGGAGGUGAAAUCCCCGGGCUCAACCUGGGAACGGCCUCCAAAACUGCAUGACUAGAGUACGGGAGAGGGUAGUGGAAUUUCCUGUGUAGCGGUGAAAUGCGUAGAUAUAAGAAGGAACACCAGUGGCGAAGGCGACUACCUGGACUGAUACUGACACUGAGGUGCGAAAGCGUGGGGAGCAAACAGGAUUAGAAACCCGUGUAGUCC